This 2066-nucleotide long non-coding RNA is filed under the name Mytilus galloprovincialis (Mediterranean mussel). The record is from RNAcentral. Lineage: Eukaryota; Metazoa; Mollusca; Bivalvia; Mytilida; Mytilidae.
CGUUAAUAUUGAUUCACUUAUAGGGUCUUUACAUCGGAACUAAACACACUUAUUAUUAAUAAACCAGUUGUUGGCAUGACACGGGUUAUGUUCUUCUCAUAUAUGUUAUGAUGGUAUGAUACUAAACCCCUCACGGGGAGGAUUGUGCCUGAUAUUCAUAUGAUGAAGACAUAAUUUGUCAAUCAGUUUAAUUGAAGUCUGGAGCUGGCAUGUCAGUAAACUGCUAGUAGUCUGAUGUUAUUUAUGUAUUAUUGUCAUUUUGUUUAUUUUCUUUGGUUACAUCUUCUGACAUCAGACUCGGACUUCUCUUGAACUGAAUUUUAAUGUGCGUAUUGUUAUGCGUUUACUUUUCUGCAUUGGCUAGAGGUAUAGGGGAGGGUUGAGAUCUCACAAACAUGUUUACCCCCGCCGCAUUUUUGCGCCUGUUCCAAGUUAGGAGCCUCUGGCCUUUGUUAUUCUUGUAUUAUUUUAACUUUUAGUUUCUUGUGUACAAUUUGGAGUUAAGAAUGGUGUUCAUUAUCACUGAACUGGUAUAUAUUUGUUUAGUGGCCAGCUGAAGGACGCCUCCGGAUGCGAGAAUUUCUCGUUGCAUUGAAGACCUGUUGGUGACCUUCUGCUGUUGUCUGCUCUAUGGUCGGGUUGUUGUCUCUUUGACACAUUUCCCAUUUCCAUUCUCAAUUUUAUGUAACAGUUUUAGAUCAGGAACUAUCAUUCUUUUACUUUUACAUGUUGAGCAUCAUUUACUGUACCAGAAAAUCAUCAGGAAACUAUAGUUACUGCCCAAACUUAGCUCUGUGUGACAAUUAUGUGUGUAGUGUCAGUCCUGACGUUCGGCUACAAGUUUGAGGUGGUUUCCGAUCUUUUCGCUGCCUACUGGUAUUUAAAUGUCGAUAACAGUUAACUUGGUACCACUAUACAUAUUCUGUAUUAUUAUCGCUACAUAGAGAAACAUGACAGCUUCAAGUAAAGCCACAUAGCUAAACAUUUUAACUGCAUAUACUUUGAUCUACAGCAUUUACUGCUGAGGAAUAUAAUUGUUUGGUGAUAUUAAUAUUUAAACUAUAUCUUUUAAAAGUCAGGUUUCAAUAUGCCCUACUUUCUUGUUGGCAACAUAUUUGUUGAAUUGGUUGGAAAACUUUUUUAACAAAUUGUCGCCGUUCCUAUUGGAACAAACUGUGCACCCCUCCUGACCGACCUUUUAUUUCUCUUAUAAAUCGGAAUUCCUUUAGAAACUUGUUAAAAACAAGUCAGAUUAUUUAAUUUCACAAUCAGAUAUAUUGAUGAUGUUCCAUAAAAAAUCCGAAAUAUUUUAAUUGGGUUCCAUUAAUAUAUCUUCAGAACUAGAAAUUCAAAAAACAGUAGACAUGGCUUCAUCCGCCUCAAUUUAUGCCUUAUACCUGGAAUUGGACAUGCACAGUCAUCUCAAUACUUGAAUCGAUGACAAACGAGACGAUUUUGAUUUUAAAAUUAUCAAUUCCCCCCAACUUAAUAGCAAUAUACCAACUUCACCUGCAUAUCGGAUAUACAAUUCCCAACUUAUUGGUUAUUGAAGAGCUUGCAGUUCCAACUCAAUUUUGUAAAAAGUCACCGGCGUUUGAGUAGAAGUUGUUGAACCAAGGAUAUGUCAACAAACGUCUUGUCCUUUUUGAUAAAUAUUCCUUAUCAACUUCACAAAUAAUACACGAUAAUCUUGAAGUAGAGAUUCCUGGUACUGACAUUGUUUAUCAUCUUAUAAACGUGUUAUAGUAUUCUUGUACUUGUCUUAAUGAACAUAAUUUUUACUAUUUAGUCUGUUUAUAUUAGGAGAUAUCCAUUUGACGUGACUCUGUACUUAUAUAUCCUGUCAUUGAGUUAUUGUUCUAUGAUAGUUAAUGUAUUGUUGUCUUUCAUAUUGCUUAUGAGCUUAUUUGUAACAGUUACAAUAUAUUUGUUUGGUUUUGUAGUGAUUAGGAUUUUAGCACAAUAUCGACUGAUGUACCUCUACUUGUGAUUUUUUUUUUCAUUGACAUUAUAGUCCAAGAUGUUGAAUGUAUAUAUCGCAAUUAAUACAUGAACUUGUGUUUAUU